UCCGAGUUGACCCCGGCAGUCUUCGAUGAGUCCCCGGCCUGACCCGCUGGCAACAUCGAACGAGGGUUGCGCUCGUUGCGGGACUUAACCCAACAUCUCACGACACGAGCUGACGACAACCAUGCACCACCUGUACACCGCCCCGAAGGACCCCUCAUCUCUGAAGGUUUUCGGUGUAUGUCAAGCCUUGGUAAGGUUCUUCGCGUUGCAUCGAAUUAAGCCGCAUGCUCCGCCGCUUGUGCGGGCCCCCGUCAAUUCCUUUGAGUUUUAGCCUUGCGGCCGUACUCCCCAGGCGGGGCACUUAAUGCGUUAGCUACGGCGCGGAAAACGUGGAAUGUCCCCCACACCUAGUGCCCAACGUUUACGGCAUGGACUAC
RNAcentral lists this unclassified non-coding RNA (377 nucleotides) under uncultured Micrococcales bacterium. RNAcentral describes it as "contains 16S-23S intergenic spacer region". The record is from RNAcentral. Lineage: Bacteria; Bacillati; Actinomycetota; Actinomycetes; Micrococcales.